AUCACCUUCACUCUUGCACUCUUCUUCUUCUUCCUCCUUGUCCUCUGAACUCUACACCAUUUUCCACCUGAGUUGCUUUUUCAAGCCUGAGAUUUCAAGACGCUUCCAUGUAAGUCUCUCGAGCACAACUCUACGCAAAUCUACUAGAAGAUCCCUUAUGACACAAAAUGUAUCACACAGUAGUACUAGCACUACCGCAAUAGAUAAUAGAUGGACCCUUCACACGAAAGCAGCUCUUGUUACUGGUGGUACUCGCGGAAUCGGGCGUGCGAUUGUGGAGGAAUUGGUG
This 289-nucleotide unclassified non-coding RNA is filed under the name Hevea brasiliensis (rubber tree). The record is from RNAcentral. Lineage: Eukaryota; Viridiplantae; Streptophyta; Magnoliopsida; Malpighiales; Euphorbiaceae.